CUACGGGUUGCUGCAGUGGGGAAUUUUGCGCAAUGGGGGCAACCCUGACGCAGCAAUACCGCGUGAGUGAAGAAGGCCUUUGGGUCGUAAAGCUCUUUUCUAAGGGAAGAUAGUGACGGUACCUUAGGAAUAAGCACCGGCUAACUCCGUGCCAGCAGCCGCGGUAAUACGGAGGGUGCGAGCGUUGUUCGGAUUUACUGGGCGUAAAGGGCACGUAGGCGGCCUAGCAAGUUAAGGGUGAAAUCCCGGGGCUCAACUCCGGAACUGCUCUUAAAACUGCUAAGCUAGAGAUAGUCAGAGGCGGGUGGAAUUCCAGGUGUAGAGGUGAAAUUCGUAGAUAUCUGGAGGAACACCGGUGGCGAAGGCGGCCCGCUGGGGCUAUUCUGACGCUGAGGUGCGAAAGCGUGGGGAGCGAACGGGAUUAGAUACCCUCGUAGUC
RNAcentral lists this ribosomal RNA (439 nucleotides) under uncultured bacterium. RNAcentral's name for it is "partial 16S ribosomal RNA". It matches the Rfam family "Bacterial small subunit ribosomal RNA", at positions 339 to 795 of the family's 1533-position model. The record is from RNAcentral.